UACGUAGGGUGCGAGCGUUAAUCGGAAUUACUGGGCGUAAAGCGUGCGCAGGCGGUUCGUUGUGUCGGCGGUGAAAGCCCCGGGCUUAACCUGGGAAUGGCCGUUGAAACUGGCGAACUGGAGUGUGGCAGAGGGGGGUGGAAUUCCGCGUGUAGCAGUGAAAUGCGUAGAGAUGCGGAGGAACACCGAUGGCGAAGGCAGCCCCUCGGCGUGACACUGACGCUCAGGCACGAAAGCGUGGGGAGCAAACAGG
This 253-nucleotide ribosomal RNA is filed under the name uncultured bacterium. RNAcentral describes it as "partial 16S ribosomal RNA". It matches the Rfam family "Bacterial small subunit ribosomal RNA", at positions 524 to 776 of the family's 1533-position model. The record is from RNAcentral.